AGAGUUUGAUCAUGGCUCAGGACGAACGCUGGCGGCGUGCUUAACACAUGCAAGUCGAACGGUGAACCCCAGCUUGCUGGGGGGAUCAGUGGCGAACGGGUGAGUAACACGUGAGUAACCUGCCCCUGACUCUGGGAUAAGCCUUGGAAACGAGGUCUAAUACCGGAUACGUGCCGCUCGGGCAUCCGAUGCGGUUGGAAAGAUUUAUCGGUCAGGGAUGGACUCGCGGCCUAUCAGCUUGUUGGUGGGGUAACGGCCCACCAAGGCGACGACGGGUAGCCGGCCUGAGAGGGCGACCGGCCACACUGGGACUGAGACACGGCCCAGACUCCUACGGGAGGCAGCAGUGGGGAAUAUUGCACAAUGGGCGCAAGCCUGAUGCAGCGACGCCGCGUGAGGGAUGAAGGCCUUCGGGUUGUAAACCUCUUUCAGCAGGGAAGAAGCGCAAGUGACGGUACCUGCAGAAGAAGCGCCGGCUAACUACGUGCCAGCAGCCGCGGUAAUACGUAGGGCGCAAGCGUUGUCCGGAAUUAUUGGGCGUAAAGAGCUCGUAGGCGGUUUGUCGCGUCUGCUGUGAAAACUCGAGGCUCAACCUCGGGCUUGCAGUGGGUACGGGCAGACUAGAGUGCGGUAGGGGAGACUGGAAUUCCUGGUGUAGCGGUGGAAUGCGCAGAUAUCAGGAGGAACACCGAUGGCGAAGGCAGGUCUCUGGGCCGCAACUGACGCUGAGGAGCGAAAGCAUGGGGAGCGAACAGGAUUAGAUACCCUGGUAGUCCAUGCCGUAAACGUUGGGCACUAGGUGUGGGGCUCAUUCCACGAGUUCCGUGCCGCAGCAAACGCAUUAAGUGCCCCGCCUGGGGAGUACGGCCGCAAGGCUAAAACUCAAAGGAAUUGACGG
This 898-nucleotide ribosomal RNA is filed under the name uncultured bacterium. RNAcentral's name for it is "bacterial SSU rRNA". It matches the Rfam family "Bacterial small subunit ribosomal RNA", at positions 8 to 916 of the family's 1533-position model. The record is from RNAcentral.